AUAACAAGGUCCCAGCAGAGCUUGGUGGCAUAGCUGAGUUCAGGAAGGACCCAGAAAAAGUGUUCAGGAUGAUGGGUUGUGGGCCUUGAAGAGUCCAUUUGUCUUCCUAUUGCUCCAGAGCCUUCAACUGCAGCAGAAAAAGGGAGCCUGGCCCAGGCUUGUUGUACUAUGGUGGCGAUGCCAUGAAGGAGUCAUGAGGCACUGGAGAGGGGGCUGUUCUGCCAUUGUGUUCUUAUCAGAAAUCAACCACAUUCAGAGACCUGGGGUACUACCAAGCAGGAUCACACAACUACUGGCGCCAGACUUAAUUACAGCUUUGCUGCCCUUCAGCUGAUUGGCAGCACAGAGAAGUGGACACAGACCAAUCAGAAGUUCACGGUCAUCCUUGGCUAGACAGUGAGUUCAAGACCAGCCCAGAAUACUUCAGACCCCAUUGGCAACGAAGAUAAAGCUUUAGAAAUUGAACUUUAUCAAAAUUAAAAGCAUCUACUUCUGGUAAGUCACUGCUAAAAAAAAAAAUGAAAAGACAAAUCAAAGAAUGGAAGAGAAUGUGAUAAUAAUGUUAU
Long non-coding RNA from Arvicanthis niloticus (Nile rat), 566 nucleotides. RefSeq lists it as uncharacterized. The record is from RefSeq and is a predicted model, not a curated record. Lineage: Eukaryota; Metazoa; Chordata; Mammalia; Rodentia; Muridae.